This 81-nucleotide transfer RNA is filed under the name Dreissena polymorpha. It matches the Rfam family "tRNA". Rfam says of the family: Transfer RNA (tRNA) molecules are approximately 80 nucleotides in length. Their secondary structure includes four short double-helical elements and three loops (D, anti-codon, and T loops). Lineage: Eukaryota; Metazoa; Mollusca; Bivalvia; Myida; Dreissenidae. The record is from Rfam by way of RNAcentral.
GUUGUCGUGGCCGAGUGGUCAACGCGAUAGACUAGAAAUCGUUUGGGAUCAACCGCGCAGGUUCGAAUCCUGCCGACAAUG